AGAGACAGCAGCAGCCGCGGUAAUACGAAGGGGGCUAGCGUUGCUCGGAAUGACUGGGCGUAAAGGGCGCGUAGGCGGAUCGUUUAGUUAGGCGUGAAAUUCCUGGGCUUAACCUGGGGACUGCGCUUAAUACAGGCAGUCUAGAGUGAGGAAGAGGGUUGUGGAAUUCCCAGUGUAGAGGUGAAAUUCGUAGAUAUUGGGAAGAACACCGGUGGCGAAGGCGGCAACCUGGUCCUUGACUGACGCUGAGGCGCGAAAGCGUGGGAGCAAACAGGAUUAGAUACCCCUGUAGUCCCUGUCUCUUAUACA
Molecule: ribosomal RNA, 309 nt
Filed under: uncultured bacterium
Lineage: Bacteria
Description: partial 16S ribosomal RNA
Rfam family: Bacterial small subunit ribosomal RNA
Source: RNAcentral